This 95-nucleotide ribosomal RNA is filed under the name uncultured bacterium. Its description in RNAcentral is "partial 16S ribosomal RNA". It matches the Rfam family "Bacterial small subunit ribosomal RNA", at positions 1390 to 1482 of the family's 1533-position model. The record is from RNAcentral.
CCGCCCGUCACAUCACGAAAGUGGAUUGUACUAGAAGUCUGCAGGCUAACCCGCAAGGGAGGCAGCGGCCCAAGGUGUGAUUCAUAAUUGGGGUG